Molecule: long non-coding RNA, 15250 nt
Filed under: Nicotiana tabacum (common tobacco)
Lineage: Eukaryota; Viridiplantae; Streptophyta; Magnoliopsida; Solanales; Solanaceae
Description: long non-coding RNA (NTAB_LNC002133)
Source: RNAcentral
AAAGAAACCCUAACCUUAAGUAUUUUUUCUUUUCUCCCUAUUCUUUCUCUUUUCCUCCCUCUAACGGCGUCCAAUCCUCAGCCAUCGUCUCUCUGUUCCUCCUUCCGACCAGCCAUCAUCUCUCUCUUCCUCCUUCUGGCCAGCCAUCGUCUCUCUCUUCCUCCGCUCCCCAGCGAUGACCAGCCCGAGGGACAGGUAAUUUUUCUUUUCUCCCAAUUUUGUUUCGAUUGUUGUUGCUUCUUUUAGAUUUUCGUCCCAAUUUUGUUUAGGUUGUUGCUGCUUCUUUCAAUGGUUGCAUUUUGUUUGCCUUUUUCUCUAUUAUUUUCUGAAUUAUUUAGAGGAAUUUAAAACACUGAUAGCUCAAGUGUUGGUUAUAAAUCCUGCUUUGAAUGAAGUAGUAGUACUAGUAAGGGGAAAAGAUUCGUGGAGAACAUUAGAAAUCUUGGUUAGAUUCGUGGAGUGCACAUUUGUGUUCUCUCGUUUUUAAUUUUUUUUUCUUUCUAAUUUUCCAGUUUUCUCUCGUGGAGUGCACAUCGUCUCUCUCUUCCUCCUUCCGACCAGCCAUCGAAACUGAAGGAGUCCAAGAAUAGGUACGGUUUUGAAUACUCAAUUAGUUAAAAUGCAUUUAGUCGGUUCAUAUGUCAAACAUGGUCAAACUUUUGAAUCACAUUAAUAUUUACUAUCUAAAUAAUAUAAAUAUAAUCCGUUAACACUUUAUUUUGUAAUACAAAUAAUGAAUACACUAACAUAUACUAUAACAAGCUAUAUAUAGUUAAAAUGCAUUCCUCUCGUCCUCCCCGUGAUCGUUCCUCUAGUCCGACCCGUGAUCGUUCUUCACGUCCUCCACAAGGCCGUUCUCUAUACCGUCUUGUAGAUGAAAGUUCAUCAAAUGGUGAUGAUGUUGUAGAAAACACCCCUUGACCAAUACUUUGAUAUACUUUGAACUAGAGUAACAGAACUAGUUUUGAAUUAGAUUGAACAAUUUUGAACUUGUUGUACGUACUUAGUUUUUGCUUGCUUUUGGAUUGUGAUGUUUAAUUGAACUUUAAUUUGUUAGUUUUAAAGUAUUAAUUGGAUGUUUGGUUGUUGUUGUUGGAUAUUUGGUUGGAUUUGUGGUGAAUUAGGGGUUGUAUGUGAUGAAUUGGUGGUUAUUAGAUGUGAAUUGGGGGUAUUGGUAUGCUGUUUUUAUUUGGCAGGUGGUGUAGCUACCAAAACAGGCAUUUUCUGCCAAAAUUAAUCCCAGAAAACUGACCAACCUUGGUCGGUGACUAAUAAAAAAAAAAUUUAAAUUGUAAAUUACCGACCAAUAUUGGUCGGUUAAUGCACAUUGAAUUUUCAGAAAUUCAACAUUACCGACCAACUUUGGUCGGUAAGUUGUCUGCCCUGUCCAGAUUACCGACCAACGUUGGUCGGUAUUUUUAAAUUUUAAUUAUUUAUAAAAAAAUAUAAAAUUAAUAAAUUUAAAACGCCUACCAACGUUGGUCGGUAAAAUUAAAUUAUUAAAAUAAUAUUCCGACCAAUAUUGGUCGGUAAGUCAAUUAAAUCGUCAGAUGGUCGUGUAGAGCAUACCGACCAAUGUUGGUCGGUAAUUUCCGAUCAACUUUGGUCGGUAUGCUCUUCCGACCUUCAAACUACCGACCACACGUUAAUGGUCGCGUUUUAGAUGGUUAUUGGCCAUUACCGACCGACUUUGAUCGGUUUUUCCGAAUUUGUAGUAGUGUUAGAUUAACCAUAAUAAUAACUAUCUAAACAAAAGUUUCCAACAUGCUUCCUAGAACAAUGUUAUGAUAAACCCAAGUAUCAUAACAUCCACUAAAGACCAUUCACUCAAUAAAUUAAAUAUUCACCUGGCAAGAAAUACACACGAGGAUUUGAAAAAACCAAUAUGUUUAAGGAGUAAAACUCAUAUGUGCAAAUCGAUUUUAUCAACAAAGUAUUCCAAUCCACCUUGCAAAUCAAGACUCAAUAUUCUGCAUGAUAAAGGAAAUACGAAAGGUUGACCAAACAUUCAUUAAGCCCAAGUAUCUCUAGAGCAUGCAUCAAAUUGAACACUCGAUCUUGUGGUAGAGCCAAGCAUAUCCAAAAUCAAGAAAGAGCAUCUCUCCAAAUGAAGUAGCAAUUACUUGGUUCAAAAGAAAACUGUCACGACCCAAAAUCUCACCUGUCGUGGUGGCGCCUAUCUCAAUACUAGGCAAGCCGAUAAUCUUAAUAAACCACCAUAUCUUUUAAGUUUGAAAACAUGAUAAUUAAAUUCAGCGGAAGAAAUCUCACAAAUACAAAUAUAACACUCGCAAAACCCGCUGUCACAGAGUACAUGAGCAUCUAAUAUAAAUACAAUGUCUGACUGAUAAAAACCACUGUCUGAAAGUGUAGAACAGUACAAUAACUGAAGGAAAGAGAGACAAGGUCAGCAGACGCCAGGUAGCUACCCUGAUAGUCUCCAACUGGUAACACACUGAGGUCCAACAGCCGCCGUGUCCGGAAGCACCUGGAACUGCACACAAGGUGCAGAGUGUAGUAUGAGUACAACCAACUCAAUAAGUAACAAAACUAACCUCUGGGCUGAAAGUAGUGACGAUCUCCGCAGGUACAGUCUGGUAUAAAUAAUGGUACAAAAAUGUAGGCAUGCUUUCAAGUUCAACAGUAAAAUUCAGUACAAGUGAAAUAGAUCAAUAUUGCAUGAUAUGAGGAAUAUGACAUCUCAGUAAAAAGACCUCAUGUAAAUACUGGUCACAAAUUAUUCGGUCACUCGGUAUAGUUUAUGGCCAAUCCAGCUCAGGGGUGUUCCAACCCGUAUGUAAAUACACAUCGACUAACAGUCAGUCACUCAGUACCGUAUAAGGCCAAUCCAGCCCUGGGAUAAUUUUAUCCCCAAAUAUAACUGAUACGGACAAGAUCCAUGUCCAGGUAAACUCAUUACAAUACAAAUAAGUAAGGCAAGUCCAUGCCCUGGGAAAUCCAUCCCGAAUAUAUAUAAUCAUCUAAGUAAGGCAAGCCCAUGCCCUGGGAAGUUCAUCCCGAAUAUAUAUAAUCAUCUACGCUCACUGGGGGUGUACAGACUCCGGAGGGGCUCCUUCAGCCCAAGCGCUAUAUAAAGCCAAUAUGGCCUACUGCAGGCGGGCAGUCCUGAUACGUAUAAUAGUAAAGCCUAUAAGGCCUGCUGCAGGUGGGCAACCCCGAUCCAUAAAACAGUAAAGCCUAUAAGGCCUGCUGCAGGUGGGUAGCCCCGAUCCAUAUAAUAGUAAUGUAUAAAGCCAUUAUGGCCUGCUGCGUCGCGCAGCUCAAUCCCAUAAAUAUCCUCACAAUGGAUAAAUAUUACUGAGUGUGAAAUGUAUAUUUUUGAACAAUUAAUUCAACAGCAACACGACCCCAUGGGUCCCAAAAUAUUGGUAUGUAGCCUAAACAUGAUCUUUAAUAGGAGCCUCAGCUCAAUUUCUCUAACACGUGGAGAAUGUUCAGAUAAUAACAUGAUUCAUUAAUCUUACAACUGUACAGGAUUUAUUCAAGACACAAUUUAUAUGGUGCACGUCCACAUGCUCGUCACCUAUAGUGUGUGUCACCUCCAAACAAUUUAUAUCAUACCAAAUUCAGGGAUUCAUACCCUCAGAACCAAGUUUAGAAGUGUUACUUACCUCAAACCGUGUAAUUCUUUACUCCGAUAUGCCUUUGCCUUGUGAAUUGGCCUCCAAACCCCUCGAAUCUAGCCACAAUUAAUUCGAUUCAGUCAAUAAAAUUUAUUGAAAUUAAUUCCAUAAGAAAAUACUAAUUUUCCAUAAAAAUCUGAAAAUUAUCUCAAAAAUCGCCUGUAGGGCCCACAUCUCGGAACUCGACAAAAGUUACAAAAUCCGAAAGCCCAUUCAACCACGAGUCUAACCAUACCAAUUUUACCAAAAUCCGACCUCAACUCAACUAUCAAAUCUUCAAUUUAAACUAAAAGGGUUUUCUAAAUGUUUCAACUUAAUUCACCCAUUAAAUGAUGGAUUCAAAGACAUAAUCAUGAAAAUUAAUCAAAACUGGAUAAGAAUCACUUACCCCAAACACCCACGCAAGAAUCUCUUCAAAAAUCGCCUUCUACCGAGCUCCCAAUUUGAUUUUGUGUUAUGAACUCAAAACCUCCGUUUUGGAACUUUUAAUUCUGCCCAGAAAUUCCUGCAUCGCAUUCGCGAAGCACAAAAAAAUGUGCUGCCAAGAUUCCUUCUUCGCGUUCGCGAUAUCCUCAUCGCGUUCGCGAUGCCUUCAGACCUCUGCCCUUCGCGUUUGCGAGACACGAGAUGCGUUCGCGAAGGCUUAAUUCCAGGCAGGCCCCUAACUCCCUUUCCUCUUCGCGUUUGCGUCUGCCCACUCGCGUUCGCGUAGGCUUUCCCCAGUUCCCUUCUUCGCGUUCGCGUCUUCUUCAUCGCGUUCGCGAUGGGCAAAUCUCAGUCUUCAGAAAUCCUUCUUCGCGAACGCGUGAGACCCUUCGCGUUCGCGAGGAACAAUACCAUAUAUCAGUUCCAGCAAUUGCAAAACAAGGAAAAAUGAUCUGAAACCGUCCCAGAACUCACCCGAGGCCCCUGGGACCUCAACUAAAUAUACCAACAAGUCCUAAAACAUCAUACGAACUUAGUCGAACCCUCAAAUCACUUCAAAUAAUGCUAAAACUCUAAAUUACACCCCAAUUCAAGCCUAAUGAACUUUGAAAUUUCUAAUUUCUACAAACGACGCCGGAACCUAUCAAAUCAUGUCCGAUUGACCUCAAAUUUUACACACAAGUCAUAAAUGACAUAACGGAGGUAUUCAAAUUUUGAGAAUUGGAUUCUGACCCCGAUAUAAAAAAGUCGACCCCUGGUCAAACUUUUCAAAAAUUCAAAUUCGGCAUUUCAAGCCUAAUUCCACUACGAACCUCCAAUUAAUUUUUCGGACACGUUCCUAAGUCCAAAAUCACCAUACGGAGCUAUUGGAAUCAUCCGAAUUCAAUUCCGAGGUCGUUUACUUAUAAGUUAAUAUCCGGUUAACUUUUCCAACUUAAGUUUUCAUUUAUGAGACUAAGUGUCUCAUUUCACUCCGAAAUCCUUCCGGGCCCGAACCAACUAAUCCGAUAAGUCAUAAAUCAAUUGUAAGGCAUAAAUUGAGCAGUAAAUAGGGGAACGGAGAUGAAAUACUCAAAACGAUCAGUCGGGUCGUUAUAUUCUCCCCCACUUAAACAUGCGUUCGUCCUCGAACGUGUCAAGAGUUGUUUCCAAGCCACCAAAUCACUAUUCCAUCUUACCACGCACGUACCCGGGGUGAUCCCAUGUUAUCAUAUUCUGUGUAAAUUGUAUAGGCCUGACAACACAACAUAAUUGAAAAUCAUUACUUCAAUCUUAGCCCAUAAACCUUGGAAUUCAAUUUCCAACAUUCAGAAUUUCUUUUCAAGACCUGAAUCUCACAUCAACACACUGUAUGAGUCUGAACAAGCUGUACCAUGCCAUAACCCUAGCCCCAGAUAUAAUCACUUAACAUACUACACAACUUGCAUACUUGCAGCACCAUUUUCGAUCAUAUUAACUACUCCAAAGUAACCCGGUAAUAGUAUUAAACCCCAUAUCAAACAAAACCUAGUUCUAAAACCUUCGUACACUGCUAAUAAUGAAAGAAACACGAGAAAUCUCAUAACAUCUUAUCAGAUCGACAAGUCAUGGAGCUCUCCCGCCCCAACCAGAACCAUAAUCACUUUCUAAGUCGACCUUCAAUAAUAUCCUCCCUAUAUACCGUAAUGAAACCUGAUAGUAUCCAUUCUAGGUCCAAUAACCUUAUAUUAUUAAACACAACUAUCCCAUUGACAUGCCACACCAAUACAACUCAAUCCAUAACUGCGCAACCUUGUACCCAUAAUGGAAGAUGUCUCAAAGUAGAGAAUCGUAUUGUAAGUUCAACAAGCACCACCACAACUGUAAUGCUAUAAGCUCAUUAUAUAUAGUAGAACCAAGACACACAAAUUUAAUAACAGUAACCAACUCUUUUAGAGCUCACAUUAACAUCACUCGCACGGACAACUCACGUGCUAUAGUAUCAAUAUCUGAACCCGCACGGAGAACUUACGUGCCAAUAAUAUCAAUAAUUUGAAUAUCAACAGUCUAUCAACCAGGAGAGUACCGUAAUACCAAUGCACAUCCGUAAAUCAAAACACAAUGUCCCUUUCAACCGCACACCCUUAUCAGGGAUUACCGAGCAACUAUAACAUUCAUCUAAAUAUAUAACACUAACCAUUCCGUCCAGAAUUUGUGAUCUUCCUUUCAAGAAUGAACUGCCACCUCGCGCAUAUAAAUCUAAAUCCCGCACAACACACCACAUCUAUCACGUGAAAAGCACAAGAAUCUCAUUAUAAACUCUGAGUCACCAGCAAAUUACAUACCCUAUUAGUUGGAAACUUUUCUCUUGCUUCUUUCCCGGAGGAAAUCACAAUGCACAACACGUUCCCCACACCGGUAGAAAAUAUCUUGUUCCAACCAUGGUAGAAACCAUUAAGAACACUUUGAAAUCCAUUUUCACCAAAUCAAGCUAUCAGAACUAAUUUCUUCUAUCUCAUCCAAGCCACGCUGGUCACCAAAACCCAAAAAUACUGCCAUCAAAACAUCUAUAAAGCCUCCACAUCAUUAUUACCCAAAAGAACUGAGCAUGCCAUUACCAUACUGGUCUAGCCUACAACCCAGUGGUCCUAUUUUCUUGGAGGUUCUCCUGAAUUACCCUCAAGUUGACAUUUCUCCUUAUCAGAACACUACUACCCUUAUCCAAAGCUCACUAUAAGACAUCCCAACAUAAAACUACACCGUUCUAAGGUCCAUAAGUCAUCGUAUUCUUCUUAAGCACCACAAAAGUACCACAACCGUAACACUCACUCUGAAAAUACCUUAUAUGAAUUUAAAAUUGUUCUUUUUCCCUUCUUAUACUGGAAUGUGGAAUCCAUAGUCAUACAGAAUUACUGCAAGUCCCGUACCAUCUAGUGUAAUAACCAAUUCUGGCGAUAUACAAAUUCCGAAAAAUUUUCAAUUGACACAUAUACAUUUUGAAUCCAUUAUAUCCCUUUCGAAAGUCACCCACUAUGCUCAAAUCUAAAUUGCACCGUCCGAAAGAGCCACAAGACAUAAGCCCCCAUUAGCACAACAACCCCCAAAGAGUAACCCUAUCUUAACACCACCAAUCAAAUUCAUACUCUGUGCGUACUACAUCCUUCAAAAUAACAAUUUAAUCAUCUCAUGAUUUUUUUCCCAUAAAGUGCAAUAUAACCCGCAUUCAAGAAAUUUUCUUACUCAAGUCAUCCUCGAUCUCAACCUCUGCAAGUCAUAACUAAUCCACAAGUGUACCUCGGAACGAAACCAAUACAGUACAUAAUCGCGCAAUCAAAUCGUAGAUAGCAGACUCCCCCACUUGGUCCAAAUCCAUAUAACAAAAUAUCUGAUAUCUCACCAUACCCAGAUAAUAUCCAAAUUGACCAUACUAAGCAAUAAAAGAUCAACUCUGGUUUCGUCCCCCAAUAAUUUCCACACACGACCGAUACACCCGGUACACAAUUAUAGUAUCGCCCACCGGUGUAGAUACAUGAACAGGUGAAACUAAGGACUCACGAGACAUAUCCAGAAAAUGAACAAAAUAUGAUGAAACAUACGAAUAUGUGGAACCAGGGUCAAAUAAUAUAGAUGCCUCCCUGUAGCACACUGAGACAAUACAUGUGAUCUCUACAUCUGAAGCAACAACAUCUGGUCUGGCAGGAAAAGCAUAGAAUCGGCCCUGACCGCCACUGGAUCGGCCUCCCUCUCUUGGGCGACCUCUAGCUGAUUGAGUCCCACCCCGAGCUGGCUGAGCGGGUGGUGGAGCAACUGAUGCAGAUGUAGUAGCCUGACUCCUCUGUUGAAAUGGACCUCGCGUAUGGCGGGGGCAAUAUUUCCUCACAUGGCCCAGCUCUCCACACUCAUGGCACUCCAUCUCGAAGAAUGAUGGUGAGUUCUGAGGCGGACCUCGGGAACCAGAAUAACUACCAGAAGGACCUGUUACAUAUGAUCCCUAAAUUGAUGGUGCACGGAGCGUACUCGAGGCUGGAAGGGCAUUGAGAGCUGACUUACUCUGAUGAGAACUGUAUGAACCACGGCUGGAUGAUGCACCACGGUGAACUGGACGACCCCUGUUGUGGUAGAACUGCCCUCCAGAAGGUACCCCACCAAAACUGCCCGAACCUCGAGGCCUCUUAGCCUCCCUGUCACCACGCUCCUGGCUACGGACCAUCUCUAUCUGUCGAGCAAUGUCAACCACCUCGUCAAAAGUGGCACCGGAUACCCUCUCCCUAGUCAUAAGUAACCGCAGUUGAUACGUGAGGCCAUCAAUGAACCUCCUAAUCCUCUCCCUAUCAGUGGACACCAACCAAACUACGUGACGAGCCAACUCAGAAAAUCUCAUCUCGUAAUGCAUCACGGACAUGCCAUCUUGACGUAACUGCUCAAACUGUCUGUGCAGCUCCUCUCUACGAGACUGUGGCACAAACUUCUCUAAAAAGAGAAUGGAGAACUCCCGCCAUAUAAGUGGUACUGCACCAAUCGGCAUGCGCCUCUCAUAAGCCUUCCACCUUCUGAAGGCAACCCCAAAAAACUAAAAAGUAGUGAACGAGACUCCACUGGUCUCUAGAAUACCUGUUGUCCGAAGCAUCCACUGGCACUUAUCCAGAAAACCCUGAGUAUCCUCUGACUCAGCACCGCUAAAUGAUGGAGGUCGAAGCCUCCAAAAUCUCUCAAGUCUUCUCUGCUCAUCAUCUGCCUUAACAGGGAUUACCGGGGCCUGAGCGACUGCAACUGGCUGGGCUGGUAGUGCCCCCGGUAUCUGAAGUCCCUGUACUACCUGGUCUGGAGUACGGGCAACAGGGGUAUGAGUACCUCCCCCGGCCUGAGAAGUGGCAGGUGCGGCCUGAGCCGAAACCUCCUGAGCAAGGCCAGUACAAACUCUCAAUAUAUGGGCUAGAGCCUCCUGAAGGCCUGGAAUCACAAUAGGUGUAGCUGGUGCCUGAGCUGGUCCCGCCGGCUCAACUGUAUCCGAAAUAUGCUCCUGAACUGGAGCAACUGGUGGUACUACAGGUGCUGCUUCAACUGCUGCACGAGCUAUACCUCGACCUCUACCUCGGCCACGACCUCUACCACGGCCCCGGCCUCUCGCGUCCCUAACUGGUGGCACUAGUGGCUGACCGUCCAAUCCAGUAAUACGUGUCCUCACCAUAUGUGAGAGAAUAGAAUAACAGGACUUUUAGUUUCCGGAAUCAACAAGUUCGCAUGACUGAAUACAAUAAAGUAAAAUUUUCUAAGGGUCCGGCAGCCUCUCGUAGAUAAGUACAGACGUCUCUGCACCGAUCCGCAAGACCCUACUAAACCUUCUCAUGACUCGUGAGACCUAUGUAACCUAGGCUUUGAUACCAACUUGUCACGACCCAAAAUCUCACCUGUCGUGAUGGCGCCUAUCUCAAUACUAGGCAAGCCGACAAUCUCAAUAAACCACCAUAUCUUUUAAGUUUGAAAACAUGAUAAUUAAAUUCAGCGGAAGAAAUCUCACAAAUACAAAUAUAACACUCUCAAAACCCGGUGUCACUGAGUACAGGAGCAUCUAAUAUGAAUACAAUGUCUGACUGAUAAAAAUCACUGUCUGAAAGUAUAGAACAGUACAAUAACUGAAGGAAAGAGAGACAAAGUCAGCGGACGCCAGGCAGCUACCCUGAUAGUCUCCAACUGGUAACAUACUAAGGUCUAAUAGCCGCCGUGUCCGGAAGCACCUGGAUCUGCACACAAGGUACAGAGUGUAGUAUGAGUACAACCAACUCAAUAAGUAACAAGACUAACCUCUGGGCUGAAAGUAGUGACGAGCUCCGCAGGGACAGUCCAGUAUAAAUAAUGGUACUAAAAUGUAGACAUGCUUUCAAGUGCAACAGUAAAACUCAGUACAAGUGAAAUAGAUCAAUACUGCAUGAUAUGAGGAAUAUGACAUCUCAGUAGAAAGACCUCAUGUAAAUACUGGUCACAAAUUACUCGGUCACUCGGUACUGUUUAUGGCCAAUCCAGCCCAGGGGUGUUCCAACCCGUAUGUAAAUACACAUCGACUAACAGUCAGUCACUCAAUACCGUAUAAGGCCAAUCCAGCCCUGGGAUAAUUUUAUCCCCAAAUAUAAUUGAUACGGACAAGAUCCAUGUCCAGGUAAACUCAUUAUAAUACAAAUAAGUAAGGCAAGUCCAUGCCCUGGGAAAUCCAUCCCGAAUAUAUAUAAUCAUCUAAGUAAGGCAAGUCCAUGCCCUUGGAAGUCCAUCCCGAAUAUAUAUAAUCAUCUACGCUCACUAGGGGUGUACAGACUCCGGAGGGGCUCCAUCAGCCCAAACGCUAUAUAAAGCCAAUAUGGCCUACUGCAAGCGGGCAGUCCCGAUCCGUAUAAUAAUAAAGCCUAAAGGUCUGCUACAGGCGGGCAUCCCUGAUUCAUAAAAUAGUAAAGCCUAUAAGGCCUGCUGCAGGCGGGUAGUCCCGGUCCAUAUAAUAAUAAUGUAUAAAGUUAUUAUGGCCUGCUGCGUCGCGCAGCUCAAUCCCAUAAAUAUCCUCACAAUGGACAAAUAUUACUGAGUGUGAAAUAUAUACUUUUGAACAAUUAAUUCAACAGCAACACGACCCCAUGGGUCCCAAAAUAUUGGCACGUAGCCUAAACAUGAUCUUUAGUAGGAGCCUCAGCUCAAUUUCUCUAACACGUGGAGAAUGUUCAGAUAAUAAUAUGAUUCAUUAAUCUUACAACUGCACAGGAUUUAUUCAAGGCACAAUUUAUAUGGUGCACGUCCACAUGCUCGUCACCUAUCAUGUGUGUCACCUCCAAACAAUUUAUAUCAUACCAAAUUCGGGGAUUCAUACCCUCAGAACCAAGUUUAGAAGUGUUACUUACCUCAAACCGUGUAAUUCUUUACUCCGGUAUGCCUUUGCCUCGUGAAUUGGCCUCCAAACCCCUCGAAUCUAGUCACAAUUAAUUCGAUUCAGUCAAUAAAAUUUAUUGGAAUUAAUUCCAUAAGAAAAUACUAAUUUUCCAUAAAAAUUCGAAAAUUAGCUCAAAAAUUGCUUGUGGGACCCACGUCUCGGAACUCGAUAAAAGUUAUAAAAUCCGAAAGCCCAUUCAACCACGAGUCUAACCAUACCAAUUUUACCAAAAUCCGACCUCAACUCGACCCAAAAAUCUUCAAUUUAAACCAAGAGGGUUUUCUAAAUGUUUCAACUUAAUUCACCCAUUAAAUGAUGGAUUCAAAGACAUAAUCAUGGAAAUUAAUCAAAACUCGAUAAAAAUCACUUACCCCAAACACCCACGCAAGAAUCUCUCCAAAAAUCGCCUUCUACCGAGCUCCCAAUUUGAUUCCCCGUUUUGGAACUUUUAAUUCUGCCCAGAAUUUCCUUCAUCGCGUUCGCGACCAUAGAUUCGCGUUCGCGAAGCACAAAAAAAAUGUCCUGCCAAGAUUCCUUCGCGUUCGCGAUAUCCUCAUUGCGUUCCCGAUGCCUUCCGAUCUCUGCCCUUCGCGUUCGCGAGACACGAGACGUGUUCGCGAAGGCUUAACGCCAGGUAGGCCCCCAACUCCCUUUCCUCUUCGCGUGUGCAUCUGUCCACUCACGUUCGCGUAGGCUUUCCCCAGCUCCCUUCUUCGCGUUCGCGUCUUCUUCAUCGCGUUCGCGAUGGGCAAAUCUCAACCGUCCAAAAUCCUCCUUCACGAACGUGUGAGACCCUUCGUGUUCACGAAGAACAAUACCAGAUAUGAGUUCCAGCAGUUGCAAAACAAGGAAAAAUGAUCCGAAACCGUCUCGGAACUCACCCGAGGCCCCCGGGACCUCAACCAAAUAUACCAACAAGUCCUAAAACAUUAGAUGAACUUAGUUGAACCCUCAAAUCGCCUCAAACAAUGCUAAAACCAUGAAUUACACCCCAAUUCAAGCCUAAUGAACUUUGAAAUUUCUAAUUUCUACAAACGACGCCGGAAUCUAUCAAAUCAUGUCCGAUUGACCUCAAAUUUUGUACACAAGUCAUAAAUGACAUAACAGAGGUAUUCAAAUUUUGAGAAUCGGAUUCCGACCCUGAUAUCAAAAAUUCAACUUUCGGCAUUUCAAGCCUAAUUCCAUUACGAACCUUCAAUUAAUUUUUCGAACACGCUCCUAAGUCCAAAAUCACCAUACGGAGCUAUUGGAAUUAUCAGAAUUCAAUUCCGAGGUCGUUUACUCAUAAGUCAAUAUCCGGUCAACUUUUUCAACUUAAGUUUUCAAUUAUGAGACUAAGUGUUUCAUUUCACUCCGAAAUCCUUCCGGGUCCGAACCAACUAACCGAUAAGUCAUAAAUCAAUUUUAAGGCAUAAAUUGAACAGUAAAUAGGGGAACGAGGAUGAAAUACCCAAAAUAACCGGCCGGGUCGUUACAAAAACCAUUAAACUAAUAGAUCUAAAUAUUAACGGCUAACUAAUUAAUAUUUUUUUUUCAUUCAACCCUUCUGAAUUGCACAUAUACUUCAGUUGGAAAUCAAUUACACAAGAAGUUAAGAGUACAUUAUACAAGGCAAAAAGUUAAGAUCCUUGAAAUAGCAAAUAUCUUUCAUUCACCAAGUGAGGUUUUUUCCCGGUAAAUGCAGAUGUCUACAAUAUGUUUUAGGAGCUAAUACAACUAUCACUAUUAAAUGCUUAGCUGAUGAAACCUUUAUGGGUUUAACCUAGCUAGAAUAUCCAAAUAAUUCCUCCAUGGUCCACCAUAUAGCUUUAAAUUCUGCAAGCAACCAGUUGAUUAUCGAAAAUACUUACGAAUCUACAAAACUAUACACAUAGGGUGUAAAAUAAAUUACUCAGUCAAUUCAGACUCUAAUGCAUUGUCUGUGAGCAUAAAGUAUCGGCAAUACCUGUAUCGGCCAGAGGCAUUAUCUCAAAACAUCUCAUAGUUCACGUAGAAUGAUACAACAAUGGGCACCACAUAGGGUUCAGUCUCUUUCAUGUCCCUCCUCCCCCUGCAUAUUAUUCUCAUUGUCAUCCUCAAUCCCUUCAUACGACCCUAUUCCUUCACCCACAAAAGAAAUUCAAGUGAAAAUUUUUUAAGUGGUUUAUAGUCCCAUUCGUAAAGCCAUAUAAUUUUGCAUUCAGUUGAAGAUUAAUUACUUUAUUGUGUCUUGGUACUUUAUUUCGUUUCCCAAGCACAGUCCUUCCCCGUUGAUUCUCUAGAUCAUUCUGAAAAAUUCAGUAAAUCUUUCAUCUUUUCUUUUCUAUUAAAUAUGUGAAAAACUAUAAAGUGUGGCAAGAGAAUGAUAUGAAUUACCAGAUUUCGGAAUCAAAAAGAAUGAACAAAAAACUUCAGAGUAAUAUUGCACAAAAGAGAAGUACGGUGUAUGUUCUACCAUGUCUCUAACCGCCACCCUCAAUAGCCACCAACGCGAAUAUAACCCAUACCCUAUAUUGAUUAUCGAAACACCAUUAUAUAAUGGCUUAGAGUAACGAUCAAGUACACUAUGGAAUGGUUGCAACUGUUAAUAUUGCAUAUUAAAAGCACAAACAAUUAUGUAUAUGCUUUAAUCAUCUAUAGAUGGAAACUUUUUAGUUUUUGUAACUGAUGAACCAAACAUACAACCAAGAGAUCAUGCAUAAUAGUAUGGUAACAUGAUCUAUGAUACAAUAACAGUGUAAUUUAGAACUUACGGUGCAAAUGUAUGAAGAUACCAUGCUUUUUGUAGAAAAAGACAGACUUUUGCUUUUUCUUUUUUAAUAAGAUAAAUAAAGAUAAAGACACAUACUUUCAAUACAUUAAGUGAUGAAUUGAAUAUAACGACUACAGAUCAUGCAGAACACUAUAUUAACUUCAGCUUUAAUGGAGAACAUUGUUACCCAGGAUAUACAGUGAAAAGAAAUAAAGAACAGUGCAGUAAUGUAACGACCCGAUCGAUCGUUUUACUUUGUCUAUCCAUGUUCCCCUAAUUAAGACUCGCCGUAUGUUCUUUUACUAUUUUAUGACUUACGGGGAUGGUUGGUUUGGGUUUGAAAGGGUUCAGGUUGAAAUCAGAACACUUAAUUCCUUAAUAGUGGCCUAAGAUGGCCAAGUUUGACUUGAGUCAACAUUUUGAGUAAAUGACCUCGGAACCGGGAUUUGAUGGUUCCAAUAGCUUCGUAUGAUAAUGUUGGACUUGGACGUACGUUCGGAUCGAGUUCUGGGUGAUCUGGGACCAUUUCGAUGCCUAAUGUUGAAAGUUGGCGCAUUGAAGGUUUUCUAGUUCUUUGAAUUUGGUUUGAAGUAGACUUCAUUGUUAUCGAGGCCUGUUUGGGAUUUCGAGCCUAGGAAUAGGUACAUAUGGUGAAUUAUGACUUGUACGCAAAAUUUGGUAUCAUUCCGAGUUGUCUAAGUAAGAUUCGACUCUUUCGGAGCUAAUUGAAAAGUUCGAAGUUCAUAAGUUGAUUUAAUUUGGUUUUGGGGUGUGAUUCUUAGUUUCGAUGUUAUUUUAAGUAUUUCGAGAGUUCGAUCAGGUCCGUAUUAUGUUUAUGGACUUAUUGGUGAAGCUGGACAGGGUCUCGAGUGGCUCGAGUGAAUUUCGGACCACCCGGAGCUAACUCUGAAAUUCUGCUGCUGAUGGUUCUGGUUUCCUUCUUCGCAAACACGGAGGUGGAGUCGCGUUCACGGAGAAGGAAUUGGGGGACUAGACAUUUUGCUCUUCGCGUUCGCAAUCCACAGGUCACGUUCGUGAAGGUCUGGGACAUGUGGCAUUCGCGUUCCCGUGAGUGCGCCCGCGUUCGCGUAGAGGAAAGGGGCCUAGGAGGGGUCAACAACCAUUACCCUUCGUGUUCGUGAAGGUAUCAUCGUGUUUGCGAUGCUCAGGCGGGGCAAGCCUUCGCGAUCGCGAUACCGCUCUCGCGUUCACAAUGAAGAUUUUCAGGGCCUGGACAAGAUUUGCCUUCGCGAUUGCGAGGCCCUUUUCGCUAUCGCGAAGAAGGGUCAACUGGGCAGAACCUUGUUUUAAAUCAGGACUUAGGCUUAUUUUCUCUCAUUUCACUUUGGGUUAGCCGAUUUUGGAGCUCUUGGAGAUGGGUUUUACACCUAGCAUUGUAAGGUAAGUAAUUACUACUUAAUAUGAGUUUAAUACACGGAUUAUGAGUAGAUUUUAACAUGUAGAUUGUGGAAAUUAUACGAUUUUGUUGAAAACCCUAGGUUUUGAUAAAAAUGGGAUUAGACCACAAAAAUGAUUAUGGAAUUGGAUAGAAAUUAUAUAUUUGUGUUCGUGAGGUUAUAUGGG